This 219-nucleotide long non-coding RNA is filed under the name Ricinus communis (castor bean). RNAcentral describes it as "long non-coding RNA (RCOM_LNC002938)". The record is from RNAcentral. Lineage: Eukaryota; Viridiplantae; Streptophyta; Magnoliopsida; Malpighiales; Euphorbiaceae.
AAAAUGAGACUGUCAGUCUCGAGAGUGAGUUAAAAUCAAAUAAUCUGGGGACUAUUGCAUUCUUCUCAGAAAAUAUAGAUUAUUCAAAUCAGUAUAUCAAACCAUGCACGUAAAUACAAAUCACAUUAUAAUCAAAUACCAUAAUAAACAAAUUAAAUAAAUAAAAAUAUAUAUUUACUUUUACGGGACGAGUGGCUCAGUAGAACCCUAACCCCAAAU